UACGUAGGGUGCGAGCGUUAAUCGGAAUUACUGGGCGUAAAGCGUGCGCAGGCGGCUUUGCAAGACAGAGGUGAAAUCCCCGGGCUCAACCUGGGAACUGCCUUUGUGACUGCAAGGCUAGAGUACGGCAGAGGGGGAUGGAAUUCCGCGUGUAGCAGUGAAAUGCGUAGAUAUGCGGAGGAACACCGAUGGCGAAGGCAAUCCCCCUAGGCCUGUACUGACGCUCAUGCACGAAAGCGUGGGGGAGCAAACAGGAUUAGAUACCCUGGUAGUCCACGCCCUAAACGAUGUCAACUGGUUGUUGGACGGCUUGCUGUUCAGUAACGAAGCUAACGCGUGAAGUUGACCGCCUGGGGAGUACGGCCGCAAGGUUGAAACUCA
This 381-nucleotide ribosomal RNA is filed under the name uncultured bacterium. Its description in RNAcentral is "bacterial SSU rRNA". It matches the Rfam family "Bacterial small subunit ribosomal RNA", at positions 524 to 903 of the family's 1533-position model. The record is from RNAcentral.